GAAAGAGGCAGAUACAGGCAGAGGGAGAAGCAGGCUCCAUGCAGGGAGCCUGACGUGGGACUCCAUCCCGGGUCUCCAGGAUCACGCCCUGGGCCGAAGGCGGUGCUAAACCACUGAGCCACCCAGGCUGCCCUCCCUAAGGGUUUUUGUCUCUCUGCUAAAAUGUCCUGGAGGUGUGGGUGAUAUUAAAAAUAUGUAACAAUCCAGUAUUGCAGAGAACUGCACUGAUAAUCAAAUCAGAAACUGAUCUGAUUUCUACUGAUUUCUACUACCCAGAAUUGUGUGGACCGGUGUCUAUCAGCCCUGCCUGCGGGAGGCUUUUUAAAAUAACGACAUAAAAGGGACUGACCUGAAUUUUUAUGAGUAUUAAAAGAACAUCCAAAGCAGGAAUUACAAAAGCACACGGCACAGAGACGACGGCCUCUCACUAAUUUUCACCCUGUGCUCAUUGCUACUUAAUCUCAGGAUGCAUCCUGGCUCUCAUUUCAUUGUGGUCCAGCGGGGUCAGGUACCAGUUACUGGGGCCGGACUGGGCCGGUUAAGACCCUGAACAGAUCAAGCCAUCUCUGGGCUUCCGUGGCUUCUGUGAGGGGCUCAGAGCCCAGCUCCCUACACAGGGGCCCUUUCCCUGCUUCCAAAGGAGCAGGGGAUUCCCAUUCCCGACUUGGCAUGACUCUUCCUUCCUCUUCGCCUUCCCGUCGUCUCCAAUUCCUGUACUCCAAACUGACCUGACAUAACCACAGGGAACACAUACCUGACAUAUUUUCCCCUCCGAAGCACUUUCCUUGUGGGAAAGCUCUCUGCAAAGAAUGCCCGAAGAGAAGAGAAAAGACCAAGGCUGAGCUGCAUUCGUCAGCCGAUAAGGACCUUGGAAAUAACUCCGCCAGCUGCUCAUUUCCAAAAGUGGAAAGCCGAGACCCAGAAAACUGGAGUGGGUUGCCCAAAAACACCCAGAGCACUUUAACUAAAUUCUUCAGCGGCCUGAAGCAUGUGUACUUUCAGUCCUCUUCCCUGCCUGCACCUUGUAAACAUGUUUGGAACAGAUGGAGGCCUUCUUCGUCCACCGCCCUCAACCCCAGGCGCACACCUAGCCUCAGGGCCCGGAGCCCCAUACUCAAGGCAAAGCGCAGCUGCUCUGAUGGAAGCUGGAGGUAAGACCUCUCCCCACUGCGACCAGCCUUGAGGUCCCCGUCCUGAGGCGGCUGACCCUCAUCCCAAUGGAAGCUUGCCCAAAGUCAGCUAGAAAACCUCUGUGCUAGAUGUCCCUGAAAUCCCCGUCCUGGUCUCCUGCAUACUCCCAAAGCUUAGCCCUGUGAAGCAGGGGAGGGCGGGACCUCUAGUCCAAUUAUAUAAAUGAACUUACUUCAAGUCCUCAGUGGCACAUAAUGUACCCAAGUCGUCAGGCGACUCUAUUUUUCUUUCAAGUCUCGUCCCCUGGCAUGCCUCCAUGUGGAGACCAUGGACCCUAGCCAAAUAGAAAUACUGGGAGUUCCCCAAAUAUGCAUUUUCAGUCCCCCAUGCCCCUAUAAAUGCCCUUCCUGCUACCCAGAAAGCAGUUCAUUCUUUUGCCAGGCUAUGGCAUAUGCACAUUUGUUUUUAAACUGGGCUCAGUGGCACCUCUUCUCUGAAGACUGCCCCAAUCCCACACCCUUUUCAUUGCGUGUGUGAGGUGCUCUGGGGCUGCCUCUGCCAUAAUACGUCACAGUCAGGCUGGCUUAUCCCCUUGACUCUUCCACUAGAGGGCCAUGAAUCUUCUUUAUCUUUCCUGGAUGGUUCAGGGUAUUUUGUACACAGCAGAUAUUAAAAACCACGUAGUGAGUGAAUGGGUAAAGGAAUAGGGGCAUUGCCGGGACUGGGGUGCGGGCUUUCACAGGUACAACUUCAACAUCACAACAGCCAUGGAGUGAUUUCCAUCUUGCUCUCUUUGGUGUGGCUUCAUUUCCUCCUUCAUGGUAUUUCUUAACAUUCAGCUCCAAGGAGCAAAGACAUUUUAAGUGCGAGGCUGUCCUCAGCUUGUUUAAUACAACCAGCUGCAUCUGCCAACCAUGGAUCAGUGUGGUCAAAACUGAAAACCCACAGGACAAGAACCCCCCAGGGAAGUCAUUCAGCAUAUGUCACAAAGAGAGAUUUAUCUAUUGGUCCCCUGCUAUGUGAC
RNAcentral lists this long non-coding RNA (2155 nucleotides) under Vulpes vulpes (red fox). Its description in RNAcentral is "lncRNA (ENSVVUG00000024211.1)". Lineage: Eukaryota; Metazoa; Chordata; Mammalia; Carnivora; Canidae. The record is from RNAcentral.